Molecule: long non-coding RNA, 785 nt
Organism: Nicotiana tabacum (common tobacco)
Lineage: Eukaryota; Viridiplantae; Streptophyta; Magnoliopsida; Solanales; Solanaceae
Source: RefSeq, a predicted model, not a curated record
AUCUUAGCAAUUUUUGACUUUUCACAACUUAUAAGAGGUGUUUUAUUGACUAACCACCUCAUCCAAUUCUUUAUCGGUCUUCUUCGUCUAGAAUAUUCCCUUAGUCUACCUUUUUCCAUGUCUUCUCUGCUGGGUCUCACUUUCACAGUGUUCAGGAGGACAUUAUUGGAAGAAAUGGUACAAUCUUUUUGGUGCAGAAUCAGAUUCUACAUGCAUCCAUCUUGAUCUAGGCCUCAUUGUGGUCAUUUCUGGUAUUACUUACAGUUUUUGAGAUAUCAGUAAUGUUGGGGAUGCAUUAAUCGAUCAUGUUCUGCAAACAGUAUUAGAUUUCUCAUAGGACACUUAAAAAAGAAGUAGGAUAAGACUCACUUUGUGCAGUGAAUGCAGCGGAUACAAGCUCAAGUUUGUCAUUUAUAUGGACAUGUCAACUCUUACUUCUCUUGUCCAAAGUUGAUGCAUCAUGGGUUUCCGCUGAUAAACUAGCUCUUGUCAUUCAGGAAAUGACUAGACCUCAACAACACGCAGCAAAGAAACAAAAUUGCUUCUCAUUCUCAUAUUUGAUGAUUAGUUGUCUUGGCUGCUACUUUUAGGUGCUACAUUUAGGACCACUUCAUUUUGUUUUUAAUAACUGCAAGGAUUGGAUCAAUACAUGUACUUCAUCCGGUAAAUCUGUGUGUUGGCAUUUGAAGUUUUACCAUUACAGUGUUCAGAUAAAUCUUGUACCUUCUCAAUGUUUAAGAAAAUUUUGGUUUCAAUUUGAGAAAUGAAACUUAAGAUUUCUGUUA